Long non-coding RNA from Oryctolagus cuniculus (rabbit), 2902 nucleotides. The record is from Ensembl. NCBI's taxonomy places the organism in Eukaryota, Metazoa, Chordata, Mammalia, Lagomorpha, Leporidae.
CCCCAGGCCGGUGACUCAGCCUCUCUGGGCCUCCAGUUCCUCAGGAAGAGCCUUGCCAGGCUAACAUGCCUAUCUUUUAAGCGGUACCUGGCUAAGGAGGUGCAUUAUUGUAACUUGCACAGCUCAUGCCUCUGUGGACACACAUCACGUUCUGUGCCCCUCUGGAUAAUCGAGAAUCAGCGCUUCCUCUCCAGAGCCUUCUUCACUUCUCAAAAACUAAUACGAAAGGCAGAGAGACAGAAAGUGGGAGAGGCCCCGCGAGGGUGGUCUUCCAUCUGCUGGCUCACUCCCCAAAUGGCCGCGACCAGAGCUAGGAGCCUGGAACUCUAUCCAGGUCUCCCACGUGGGUGCAGGGGCCCAAGGACGGGCGCCAUCUUCAGCUGCUUUUCCAGGGAGCUGGACUGGAAGUGGAGCAGCUGGGACACAAACCGGCAUCCCAGACAGAAGCUCAACCUACACUGCGCCACAACGCUGGCCCCUUUGUCCUUUCUUUGGCCACGUCAGGUAAGAGCCACUGACUGUAGAUUGUGAAGUGGACAUAUUUUUCAUCUCUCCAGGGGCCACCACAGGUUAUUUGCCUAAAGAAACCAGAAGAUUCCCCCACCACUGCACCGUCUGCAGGUGGAUCCCACAGCAUGUUCCUGUUGUGUUAUGAUCACUGCACACCCCGGGUGUGCAAGCGAUUUUUAAAAACAGCAUUUUCUGUGUUUUAGUUAUCCCAGGAUUUAAAAAGACAAUUCCACGCUGCUAGUAGGAAAGCAGCCCCCAAGGGGAAAGGGUGGACCGGAAGGGGGCUCCGCCUGGAUCUUCUCCAGGUCCAGUCGUACUGUGGGGGGAGUCACCACGACACACAGUCUGCACCAUCUUCCAGAGUGAUUCCUUUAGCGUUCCCAGUGCAUUUUUUUGUCCUGCUCAGAAGGCUGGAGACUUUGCAGUAUAUUCCAAAGACGUGACAGCUCUCAGGAGCAGCUCACUUUCAUGAACGCCUUCUGACAUCCUCCUGCACUUAACCUGCCCCUGCUGGCCAACAUUUCAGUCCACGCCAGGAUUUGGCCUUAAAAAGAUACAUACACUCUGGCACGUGGCCAGGCUCACAUGUAAGAUAAGUUCCUAGAAGUGCAAUUUCUCGGUCCGAGGAUAUGUGCUUUCUUAAUUUCUACAACCGUCGCCCAGCGCCCCUCAAAAAGGUCAACACACACACGUCCACCAGCAGAGCUUGAGGGACACCGCCAGUGGCUGCUGUGUCCUCCCACGCCAGCGAGCGGGCAGUGUGUCAGGGAACGAAGGCGCAGGCGAGGUAAGGGGACUUUUAUGUGCGAAUCUGGGCUGGGGGUGGAGGUGCUGUCCCAGGCUGUCCCUGCAGCUCUCAUCAGCCUGGGUUUGAUAGGGGAGGUAAGCCAGAACCGUACAGCAAGAAGCAUUGUGCAAGCCAGUAUUUAUUUCUUGAGUGUGGGUAGAACUUAAAUAUGGUCAAAACAUGCUCUUCUUUUAAUUUACACAAACAAAUAUGUUCCCAGGCUCACACCUCCGGUGCCAAGUUUCUAGGGGAAACGAGAUUGUCCUGUGAGAUGAGAAACCACUAGAGAGAAUAUGUGAAUGGGAAAGCCGAUGGGAGUUAGCGCUGCACGCCCAGAACCAGCUACAGAGGAGCGGCUCUGUCCCGAUGGCAGAUAAACCUGCCAGCACUUGGAGCCAACGAGACGUGGAAACAGGUCAAGGCCAGAGGACGAGAGAGCUCCAGUUGUGAGGAGAAGGCGGCCUGCUCGGCUCGGCUCGGCUCAGCUCGGCUCGGACUCCUCCCUCCCAGCGGCAAGGCGUGCCCGGCGAGGGGCUGAUGAACCCAGGGAGAAGCAGCAAGGCCACGGUGAGUCGCCGUGCAGGGCUGUGUGCUAACAGAACACCAAGCGGCUUGAACGCGUUCCAAGCGAGGGGAUUAAAGCAGCAUGUUAUUUUGAGUGAUUGCUUAAUUUAUUGAGCUGCGGCUAGAUCUGUAAUGAAAUACAGCCCUUGUAACUGAUAACCUCCCGCUGCAAAGGAACCUCUGCAAUUAAGGGAUAUUUUCUGGAACGGCUGGGAAUUUUUAACCUCUGCGGUCGGGGUGUUCUGAGCACUCAUUUUCCAGGCAAGCUUUCUGUUUGUUUGUUUGUUUGUUUAAAGAGUGGCAGGCUGCUCUUAAUACAAGAAAAUGAGCAGCUUUUAUUUUAUCGAGUGCCCCGUGUGCCCCAAGCACUUUAUUUACAUUAUCUCUAAUUCCGACAAUAUCCCAGCAAAAUAACCCUAUUUCCUACCCUACAGAUGUCGGGUACAUUUCUGGAGGGGCUCUGUACAGGAUGGUAGCUGCCAGCUACCGUGUGGGACUAUCUAGGUGUCAAUGAGUUAAAAUGGAACACAUUUAAAAAUUCACCCCCAAAGUCGCCCCAGUCCUGAGUUCAAGCGCCCAACCGCUAUGCAAGAGUCCUUCAGAACAUUCAUGGAAAGUGGAAUUAAAAGGUGCUUGUUUGGAUGCAAAAACAUGUUUGUUUGUUUGUUUGUUUGCUUCAGAAACAUUGAAAUCCAUGCAUACAAGGAGCCUUCAAUAAGUUCAUGGGAGAGGCUGGCUGUGUGGCAUAGUAGGCUAAGCCUCUGCCUGUGGCACCGGCAUCCCAUAUGGGCACUGAUUCAAGUUCCGGCUGCUCCACUUCCAAUACAGCUCUCUGCUAUGGCCUGAGAAAGCAGAAAUGGCCCAAGUGCUUGGGCCACUGCACCCAAGUGGGAGACCUGGAAGAAGCUCCAGGCUCCUGGCUUCAGAUUGGCCCAGUUCCAGCCAUUGUGGCCAUUUGAGAAGUGAACCGGUGGAGGGAAGACCUUUCUCUCUCUCUCUCUCUGUAAUUCUACAUCUCAAAUAAAUAAAAUAAUUUAAAAA